UUAAACUAGGGAUUAGAUACCCUAUUAUUAAAAUUUAAAUUGAAAAUACUAAAAUAGUAGGUAAUUAUUUAUUGAAACUUAAAUAAUUUGGCGGUAUUUUAGUUCAUUUAGAGGAAUCUGUUUAUUAAUUGAUAAUCCACGAAUAAAUUUACUUAAUUUUUUUUUAUUUUGUAUAUCGUUGUUAAAAAAAUAUUUUUUAAUAAUAAUAAUAUUUAAAAAUUUAAAUUAAAAAUUAAAUCAGAUCAAGAUGCAGAUUAUAAUUAAGAAUAUAAUGGAUUACAAUAAAUUUAUUUAAAUGGAUGUUAAUUUGUAAAAAUUAAUUAAAGGUGGAUUUAAAUGUAA
Molecule: ribosomal RNA, 342 nt
Filed under: Spodoptera exigua (beet armyworm)
Lineage: Eukaryota; Metazoa; Arthropoda; Insecta; Lepidoptera; Noctuidae
Description: partial 12S ribosomal RNA
Source: RNAcentral